RNAcentral lists this ribosomal RNA (396 nucleotides) under uncultured bacterium. RNAcentral describes it as "bacterial SSU rRNA". It matches the Rfam family "Bacterial small subunit ribosomal RNA", at positions 505 to 898 of the family's 1533-position model. The record is from RNAcentral.
GUGCCAGCCGCCGCGGUAAUACGGAGGGUGCAAGCGUUGUUCGAAAUUACUGGGCGUAAAGCGCGCGUAGGUGGCGAAGCAAGUCUUGUGUGAAAGCCCCAGGCUUAACCUGGGAAAUGCAUGAGAAACUGCUUUGCUCGAGGACGUGAGGGGAGAGCGGAAUUCCAAGUGUAGUGGUGAAAUACGUAGAUAUUUGGAGGAACACCGGUGGCGAAAGCGGCUCUCUGGCACGUAUCUGACACUCAGGCGCGAAAGCGUGGGGAGCAAACAGGAUUAGAUACCCUGGUAGUCCACGCCGUAAACGAUGUGUACUUGAUGUUGGAGGAUUUUGACCCUUUCAGUAUCGUAGCUAACGCGAUAAGUACACCGCCUGGGGAGUACGGCCGCAAGGCUAAA